Caenorhabditis elegans is the source of this 21-nucleotide non-coding RNA. The record is from Ensembl. Lineage: Eukaryota; Metazoa; Nematoda; Chromadorea; Rhabditida; Rhabditidae.
UACUUCAUUGAAUUGGAUACA